This is a long non-coding RNA of Frankliniella occidentalis (western flower thrips), 285 nucleotides long. RefSeq lists it as uncharacterized. The transcript has 2 exons. NCBI's taxonomy places the organism in Eukaryota, Metazoa, Arthropoda, Insecta, Thysanoptera, Thripidae. The record is from RefSeq and is a predicted model, not a curated record.
AUUUAGACCAAAAUUCUGUUUUUCCCCUGUUGCAGGGAGAGUGUCCAACAGUUGCAUCUGUGCUUUGACAUCAGCUAACCAGCCGUUAGCUGUCACCUGAUGUUUGCUGAGUUGUCGUCACAGCACACAGCAUCAGAAAUGGACCCUCUUCCCCAUGGUCUGAGGAAUGAAUCUGGUAUGCAGAUUCGCUCCAAGUCACCAGCAGAAACAAGCCGGCUACUUGAGGAAGACUUUACUCUUAUUAUGUAAAUGAUUUGAAACAAUAAAGAAUAAAAAAUGCCUACA